Molecule: ribosomal RNA, 251 nt
Filed under: uncultured bacterium
Lineage: Bacteria
Description: partial 16S ribosomal RNA
Rfam family: Bacterial small subunit ribosomal RNA
Source: RNAcentral
UACGGAGGAUGCGAGCGUUAUCCGGAUUUAUUGGGUUUAAAGGGUGCGUAGGCGGAUCGUUAAGUCAGUGGUCAAAUUGAGGGGCUCAACCCCUUCCCGCCAUUGAAACUGGCGAUCUUGAGUGGAAGAGAAGUAUGCGGAAUGCGUGUGUAGCGGUGAAAUGCAUAGAUAUCACGCAGAACCCCGAUUGCGAAGGCAGCAUGCCGGCUUCCGACUGACGCUGAAGCACGAAAGCGUGGGGAUCGAACAGG